UUUCUCCGCCGGCGACGGCGCACGGGUGAGUAACACGUAUGCAACCUGCCCCUGUCAGGGGGACAACCCGCCGAAAGGCGGGCUAAACCCGCGUACAUGCCACCGGGGCAUCCCGGAGGCAGGAAAGGCUUCGGCCGGACAGGGAUGGGCAUGCGGCGCAUUAGGCAGUAGGCGGGGUAACGGCCCACCUAACCGACGAUGCGUAGGGGUUCUGAGAGGAAGGUCCCCCACACUGGUACUGAGACACGGACCAGACUCCUACGGGAGGCAGCAG
Molecule: ribosomal RNA, 274 nt
Filed under: uncultured bacterium
Lineage: Bacteria
Description: partial 16S ribosomal RNA
Rfam family: Bacterial small subunit ribosomal RNA
Source: RNAcentral